GAUGAACGCUGGCGGCGUGCCUAAUACAUGCAAGUCGAGCGAACAGACGAGGAGCUUGCUCCUCUGACGUUAGCGGCUGACGGGUGAGUAACACGUGGAUAACCUACCUAUAAGACUUGGAUAACUUCGGGAAACCGGAGCUAAUACCGGAUAAUAUAUUGAACCGCAUGGUUCAAUAGUGAAAGACGGUUUUGCUGUCACUUAUAGAUGGAUCCGCGCCGCAUUAGCUAGUUGGUAAGGUAACGGCUUACCAAGGCAACGAUGCGUAGCCGACCUGAGAGGGGGAUAGGCCACACUGGAACUGAGACACGGUCCAGACUCCUACGGGAGGCAGCAGUAGGGAAUCUUCCGCAAUGGGCGAAAGCCUGACGGAGCAACGCCGCGUGAGUGAUGAAGGUCUUCGGAUCGUAAAACUCUGUUAUUAGGGAAGAACAAAUGUGUAAGUAACUAUGCACGUCUUGACGGUACCUAAUCAGAAAGCCACGGCUAACUACGUG
Molecule: ribosomal RNA, 497 nt
Filed under: uncultured bacterium
Lineage: Bacteria
Description: partial 16S ribosomal RNA
Rfam family: Bacterial small subunit ribosomal RNA
Source: RNAcentral